CCGGGGCCCCGGAAACCACAAAACAGGACUGAAUCCCCAUCUUCUUGUAUCACAACGGCUAGUUGUCUGCCAAAAUGUGUGCUUCCCCUCCGAGACCUGAGCUGUCACUGGAAGCAGCUACCCCAACAAGGACUCAAAUGCUAACUGGUGGAAGGAUUCAUUUGAAGAUGAGGCCCUAGGAAGGAGACUAACCAUAAGGUGGCAAGAGCUGGAUCCCUGAACUACAUACAGCCUGGA
Long non-coding RNA from Myotis brandtii (Brandt's bat), 237 nucleotides. RefSeq lists it as uncharacterized. Lineage: Eukaryota; Metazoa; Chordata; Mammalia; Chiroptera; Vespertilionidae. The transcript has 3 exons. The record is from RefSeq and is a predicted model, not a curated record.